UACGAAGGGGGCUAGCGUUGCUCGGAAUCACUGGGCGUAAAGCGCACGUAGGCGGCUUUCUAAGUCAGGGGUGAAAUCCUGGAGCUCAACUCCAGAACUGCCUUUGAUACUGGGAAGCUUGAGUCCGGAAGAGGUGAGUGGAACUGCGAGUGUAGAGGUGAAAUUCGUAGAUAUUCGCAAGAACACCAGUGGCGAAGGCGGCUGACUGGUCCGGUUCUGACGCUGAGGCACGAAAGCGUGGGGAGCAAACAGG
RNAcentral lists this ribosomal RNA (253 nucleotides) under uncultured bacterium. Its description in RNAcentral is "partial 16S ribosomal RNA". It matches the Rfam family "Bacterial small subunit ribosomal RNA", at positions 524 to 776 of the family's 1533-position model. The record is from RNAcentral.